UAUAUGCCAUUCAUGGUAGAUUCUCAGAGAAAUCCGAUGUAUAUAGCUUCAGAGUCCUGUUAUAAGAGAUUUUAAGCGGAAGACACUGCACCAGUUUCCAUCCCGACGAUCAGACCUUGAGUCUUCUAGGAUUCGCUUGGAAAUCGUGGACUGAGGAGAACAUGGCAGCUUUCGUCGACCCGGUGAUAUAUGCCCCAAGUGAUGAAAUUGCCAUUUUAAGGUGUAUUCAUGUGGGAUUGUUGUGCGUGCAAGAACAUAUGCGAGAUAGGCCAUCCAUGUCAACUGUCAUAUCGAUGCUUAAUAGUGAAAUUCUCGACCUUCCUAGCCCGAAGCAACCGGCAUUCACAAGCACUCAGGCUGAUGUUUAUACUCAACAGGAUCAGAAGCCGUGUUCUGUUAACAAUCUAACUGUUACAAUUGUCGAACCUCGAUAAAAGCAGGAAAUUACUGGGAAUUGUACAUGUAAUUCGGCAUGAAUCAUUGUUCUUCAAAUUUAUGUACGAGUGCUUUCUUUAAAAACUUAUCCGUCAAACAGACACAUCUGUAAGUAAUUCACGCAGAAUAGCAAUUAUUGCAAAGUAGUAAUCUACUGAGUGAU
Syzygium oleosum is the source of this 598-nucleotide long non-coding RNA. RefSeq lists it as uncharacterized. Lineage: Eukaryota; Viridiplantae; Streptophyta; Magnoliopsida; Myrtales; Myrtaceae. The record is from RefSeq and is a predicted model, not a curated record. The transcript has 2 exons.